AGUGGCGGACGGGUGAGUAACGCGUGAGAAUCUGCCUUCAGGUCGGGGACAACAGAGGGAAACUUCUGCUAAUCCCGGAUGAGCCUUAGGGUAAAAAAUUUAUUGCCUGGAGAUGAGCUCGCGUCUGAUUAGCUAGUUGGUAAGGUAAAAGCUUACCAAGGCAACGAUCAGUAGCUGGUCUGAGAGGAUGAGCAGCCACACUGGGACUGAGACACGGCCCAGACUCCUACGGGAGGCAGCAGUGGGGAAUUUUCCGCAAUGGGCGAAAGCCUGACGGAGCAAGACCGCGUGGGGGAGGAAGGCUCUAGGGUUGUAAACCCCUUUUCUUUGGGAAGAACAAAAUGACGGUACCAAAGGAAUCAGCCUCGGCUAACUCCGUGUCAGCAGCCGCGGUAAUACGGAGGAGGCAAGCGUUAUCCGGAAUGAUUGGGCGUAAAGCGUCCGCAGGUGGCAAUGUAAGUCUGCUGUCAAAACCCAGGGCUCAACUCUGGUCAGGCAGUGGAAACUACAUAGCUAGAGUUCGGUAGGGGCAAAGGGAAUUCCCGGUGUAGCGGUGAAAUGCGUAGAGAUCGGGAAGAACAUCGGUGGCGAAAGCGCUUUGCUAGACCGAAACUGACACUCAGGGACGAAAGCUAGGGGAGCGAAUGGGAUUAGAUACCCC
Molecule: ribosomal RNA, 661 nt
Filed under: uncultured bacterium
Lineage: Bacteria
Description: bacterial SSU rRNA
Rfam family: Bacterial small subunit ribosomal RNA
Source: RNAcentral